Molecule: ribosomal RNA, 353 nt
Filed under: uncultured Crater Lake bacterium CL0-95
Lineage: Bacteria
Description: bacterial SSU rRNA
Rfam family: Bacterial small subunit ribosomal RNA
Source: RNAcentral
AAGGAGGUGAUCCAGCCGCACUGGAACUGAGACACGGUCCAGACUCCUACGGGAGGCAGCAGUGGGGAAUUUUCUGCAAUGGGCGAAAGCCUGACAGAGCAAUACCGCGUGAGGGAUGAAGGCCCGUGGGUCGUAAACCUCUUUUUUCAAGGAGGAAGUUCUGACGUGUACUUGAAGAAUAAGCAUCGGCUAACUCUGUGCCAGCAGCCGCGGUAAGACAGAGGAUGCAAGUGUUAUCCGGAAUUACUGGGCGUAAAGCGUCUGCAGGUUGUUUAUUAAGUCUGUUGUUAAGUCUUGAGGCUUAACCUUAAAAUGGCAAUGGAAACUAUUAGACUUGAGUAGGUAGAGGUAAA